GUGAAUCAUCGAAUUUUUGAACGCGAAUUGCGCUUCCUGGCAUCCCGGGAAGUAUGCCUGUUUGAGGGUCAGUAUUAAUAAAAAACCGGUUGAUUUACAAAUUGUGACGUUUCGGGGGUUUGUGCUAUCGUAUCAUUUUUGGUUAAGAGGCUUAAAAUUGACCUUUUUUGCUCUUGUGUAAAUUUAAAUAAAUUUUCUUUAGUCGUCUAUUCUUAAUGCCAAAAUCUUAUUAACUGCGAUC
RNAcentral lists this unclassified non-coding RNA (241 nucleotides) under Glomeraceae sp. RNAcentral describes it as "partial contains 5.8S ribosomal RNA and internal transcribed spacer 2". The stretch from base 1 to 71 matches the Rfam family "5.8S ribosomal RNA", at positions 84 to 154 of the family's 154-position model. Lineage: Eukaryota; Fungi; Glomeromycota; Glomeromycetes; Glomerales; Glomeraceae. The record is from RNAcentral.